GAUGAACGCUGGCGGCGUGCCUAAUACAUGCAAGUCGAACGGAAAGGCCCUGCUUUUGUGGGGUGCUCGAGUGGCGAACGGGUGAGUAACACGUGAGUAACCUGCCCUUGACUUUGGGAUAACUUCAGGAAACUGGGGCUAAUACCGGAUAGGAGCUCCUGCUGCAUGGUGGGGGUUGGAAAGUUUCGGCGGUUGGGGAUGGACUCGCGGCUUAUCAGCUUGUUGGUGGGGUAGUGGCUUACCAAGGCUUUGACGGGUAGCCGGCCUGAGAGGGUGACCGGCCACAUUGGGACUGAGAUACGGCCCAGACUCCUACGGGAGGCAGCAGUGGGGAAUAUUGCACAAUGGGCGGAAGCCUGAUGCAGCAACGCCGCGUGCGGGAUGACGGCCUUCGGGUUGUAAACCGCUUUCGCCUGUGACGAAGCGUGAGUGACGGUAAUGGGUAAAGAAGCACCGGCUAACUACGUG
RNAcentral lists this ribosomal RNA (468 nucleotides) under uncultured bacterium. RNAcentral describes it as "partial 16S ribosomal RNA". It matches the Rfam family "Bacterial small subunit ribosomal RNA", at positions 28 to 507 of the family's 1533-position model. The record is from RNAcentral.